RNAcentral lists this unclassified non-coding RNA (377 nucleotides) under plant metagenome. Its description in RNAcentral is "partial contains 5.8S ribosomal RNA, internal transcribed spacer 2, and large subunit ribosomal RNA". The stretch from base 1 to 104 matches the Rfam family "5.8S ribosomal RNA", at positions 51 to 154 of the family's 154-position model. The record is from RNAcentral.
AAAUGCGAUAAGUAAUGUGCAUUGCAGAAUUCAGUGAAUCAUCGAAUCUUUGAACGCACCUUGCGCUCCUUGGUAUUCCUUGGAGCAUGCCUGUUUGAGUAUCAUGAAAUCUUCAAAGUAAAUCUUUUGUUAACUCAAUUGGUUUCUACUUUGGUAUUGGAGGUCUUUGCAGCUUCACACCUGCUCCUCUUUGUUCAUUAGCUGGAUCUCAGUGUUAUGCUUGGUUCCACUCGGCGUGAUAAGUUAUCUAUCGCUGAGGACACUGUAAAAGGUGGCCAAGGUAAAUGCAGAUGAACCGCUUCUAAUAGUCCAUUGACUUGGACAAUACUUUUAUGAUCUGAUCUCAAAUCAGGUAGGAAUACCCGCUGAACUUAGGC